Calidris pugnax (ruff) is the source of this 466-nucleotide long non-coding RNA. RefSeq lists it as uncharacterized. Lineage: Eukaryota; Metazoa; Chordata; Aves; Charadriiformes; Scolopacidae. The record is from RefSeq and is a predicted model, not a curated record. The transcript is spliced from 3 exons.
GCCUUUUAAACCUUAGAAGUGAAAUGCAAUUCUGUAGAAUUUUUGAGUUAAAACGAAGAGCUGAUCUUGAAGAGAAGAGCAGAGCAAGGAAUGAUUUGUUCAAUGUCUGGUGAGUUCCAUUGUGUUUCUGUGCCUUAGGAUCCCCACCUAUAAAGACGGGUUCAAAAUUCUUGGUGGACAACUGGCAUGAACUCGGCAACUCAUAUCUGGCAGGGAAACACCAGCGUAUGAGAAGGACCAGUUAAUAAAUGAACUCUUUCCAUACAGAUGCUGUAGUCUGGGAUGUCUGAAGCCACAUGCAGAGGGAAUGCUGAGCCCACACUCAACCAUAUUGGACAAAGACUUUGUGGAUAUAGAUAUGAAUAGGGUGAACGUAAACUAGGAGAUGAGCUGACUGGGGAACUGUGACUGUAACGGUUGUCCAGUGGCUUAUGGUUGCCAGCCAUUUCUGUUUGGUCAGACUAGU